This 554-nucleotide ribosomal RNA is filed under the name Trichoderma harzianum. RNAcentral's name for it is "eukaryotic LSU rRNA". The stretch from base 166 to 319 matches the Rfam family "5.8S ribosomal RNA". The record is from RNAcentral. Lineage: Eukaryota; Fungi; Ascomycota; Sordariomycetes; Hypocreales; Hypocreaceae.
CCAAACUGUUGCCUCGGCGGGAUCUCUGCCCCGGGUGCGUCGCAGCCCCGGACCAAGGCGCCCGCCGGAGGACCAACCAAAACUCUUUUUGUAUACCCCCUCGCGGGUUUUUUUAUAAUCUGAGCCUUCUCGGCGCCUCUCGUAGGCGUUUCGAAAAUGAAUCAAAACUUUCAACAACGGAUCUCUUGGUUCUGGCAUCGAUGAAGAACGCAGCGAAAUGCGAUAAGUAAUGUGAAUUGCAGAAUUCAGUGAAUCAUCGAAUCUUUGAACGCACAUUGCGCCCGCCAGUAUUCUGGCGGGCAUGCCUGUCCGAGCGUCAUUUCAACCCUCGAACCCCUCCGGGGGGUCGGCGUUGGGGAUCGGCCCUGCCUUUGGCGGUGGCCGUCUCCGAAAUACAGUGGCGGUCUCGCCGCAGCCUCUCCUGCGCAGUAGUUUGCACACUCGCAUCGGGAGCGCGGCGCGUCCACAGCCGUUAAACACCCAACUUCUGAAAUGUUGACCUCGGAUCAGGUAGGAAUACCCGCUGAACUUAAGCAUAUCAAUAAGCGGAGGAA